RNAcentral lists this ribosomal RNA (403 nucleotides) under uncultured bacterium. RNAcentral describes it as "bacterial SSU rRNA". It matches the Rfam family "Bacterial small subunit ribosomal RNA", at positions 355 to 775 of the family's 1533-position model. The record is from RNAcentral.
UAGGGAAUAUUGGACAAUGGGCGCAAGCCUGAUCCAGCCAUGCCGCGUGAGUGAAGAAGGCCUUAGGGUUGUAAAGCUCUUUUGGCGGGGAAGAUAAUGACGGUACCCGCAGAAUAAGCUCCGGCUAACUUCGUGCCAGCAGCCGCGGUAAUACGAAGGGGGCUAGCGUUGUUCGGAAUCACUGGGCGUAAAGCGCACGCAGGCGGAUUGAUAAGUCGGGGGUGAAAUCCCGGGGCUCAACCUCGGAAUUGCCUUCGAUACUGUCUGUCUUGAGUCCGGGAGAGGUGAGUGGAAUUCCUAGUGUAGAGGUGAAAUUCGUAGAUAUUAGGAAGAACACCAGUGGCGAAGGCGGCUCACUGGCCCGGAACUGACGCUCAUGUGCGAAAGCGUGGGGAGCAAACAG